Molecule: ribosomal RNA, 151 nt
Filed under: uncultured crenarchaeote
Lineage: Archaea; Thermoproteati; Thermoproteota
Description: partial 16S ribosomal RNA
Rfam family: Archaeal small subunit ribosomal RNA
Source: RNAcentral
CCCUACGGGGUGCACCAGGCGCGAAAUCUCUGCAAUAGGCGAAAGCUUGACAGGGUUACUCUGAGUGAUUCCCGCUAAGGGGAUCUUUUGGCACCUCUAAAAAUGGUGCAGAAUAAGGGGUGGGCAAGUCUGGUGUCAGCCGCCGCGGUAA